ACUGUGCUGGGCAAGGUGGCGCGCCCGGGCAGCUACGAGCUUCCCAGCGACGCUGGCGUGGUUCAGGCCCUCGCCGCAGCA
RNAcentral lists this transfer RNA (81 nucleotides) under Firmicutes bacterium ADurb.Bin506. RNAcentral describes it as "tRNA-Arg". Lineage: Bacteria; Bacillati; Bacillota. The record is from RNAcentral.